UCCGGUGCGAAUCCGGUGCGGUCCCGCCACUGUGACCGCGGCUCACUGAGCCGUGGGAGCCAGGA
RNAcentral lists this non-coding RNA (65 nucleotides) under Kitasatospora setae. The record is from RNAcentral. Lineage: Bacteria; Bacillati; Actinomycetota; Actinomycetes; Kitasatosporales; Streptomycetaceae.